GCCGGGCUGCGCGGUCUACGCAGGCUCGGCAAUCUGUACGCACGCCGCCCGCUCCGGCACGGGGCGGCACAGAUUAUAAGGAGGA
Collinsella sp. CAG:398 is the source of this 85-nucleotide non-coding RNA. The record is from Rfam. NCBI's taxonomy places the organism in Bacteria, Bacillati, Actinomycetota, Coriobacteriia, Coriobacteriales, Coriobacteriaceae.